UGUCAGACUUGUUACAAAGUUGUUCCAACAAGUCCGAUACAGUCAUAUAACAAUAUUGUUACAACCUUGUUUCGUCAACCUUGUAACAUUCCUGUUAUAUCAUGGCUGCAUCAGACUUGUUAGAACAACCUUGUAACAAGUCUGAUA
Molecule: microRNA precursor, 147 nt
Filed under: Paramuricea clavata
Lineage: Eukaryota; Metazoa; Cnidaria; Anthozoa; Malacalcyonacea; Plexauridae
Source: RNAcentral